RNAcentral lists this ribosomal RNA (75 nucleotides) under Salmonella enterica subsp. enterica serovar Typhimurium. RNAcentral's name for it is "partial 16S ribosomal RNA". The stretch from base 1 to 62 matches the Rfam family "Bacterial small subunit ribosomal RNA", at positions 1472 to 1533 of the family's 1533-position model. The record is from RNAcentral. Lineage: Bacteria; Pseudomonadati; Pseudomonadota; Gammaproteobacteria; Enterobacterales; Enterobacteriaceae.
UACUUGGGGUGAAGUCGUAACAAGGUAACCGUAGGGGAACCUGCGGUUGGAUCACCUCCUUACCUUAAAGAAGCG